CGCGUAGGCGGCUUAGCAAGUCAGGGGUGAAAUGUCUCGGCUCAACCGAGGACCUGCCUUUGAAACUGCUGAGCUUGAGGCCGUGAGAGGAGACUGGAAUUCCUAGUGUAGCGGUGAAAUGCAUAGAUAUUAGGAAGAACACCAGUGGCGAAGGCGAGUCUCUGGCACGGUUCUGACGCUGAGGUGCGAAAGCCAGGGGAGCGAACG
RNAcentral lists this ribosomal RNA (207 nucleotides) under uncultured bacterium. RNAcentral describes it as "partial 16S ribosomal RNA". It matches the Rfam family "Bacterial small subunit ribosomal RNA", at positions 568 to 774 of the family's 1533-position model. The record is from RNAcentral.